Pachysolen tannophilus NRRL Y-2460 is the source of this 71-nucleotide transfer RNA. It matches the Rfam family "tRNA". From Rfam's summary of the family: Transfer RNA (tRNA) molecules are approximately 80 nucleotides in length. Their secondary structure includes four short double-helical elements and three loops (D, anti-codon, and T loops). Lineage: Eukaryota; Fungi; Ascomycota; Pichiomycetes; Alaninales; Pachysolenaceae. The record is from Rfam.
GGGAUUAUAGUUUAAUGGUAAAACAACUACUUUGCAAGUAGUGAAUAUUGGUUCAAUUCCGAUUAAUUCCA